This 73-nucleotide transfer RNA is filed under the name Archaeoglobus sp. RNAcentral describes it as "tRNA-Val". It matches the Rfam family "tRNA". Rfam says of the family: Transfer RNA (tRNA) molecules are approximately 80 nucleotides in length. Their secondary structure includes four short double-helical elements and three loops (D, anti-codon, and T loops). Lineage: Archaea; Methanobacteriati; Methanobacteriota; Archaeoglobi; Archaeoglobales; Archaeoglobaceae. The record is from RNAcentral.
GGGCUCGUGGUCUAGCGGUUAUGACGUCGCCCUUACAAGGCUGAGAUCGAGGGCUUGAAUCCCUCCGAGCCCA